Molecule: ribosomal RNA, 380 nt
Filed under: uncultured organism
Description: bacterial SSU rRNA
Rfam family: Bacterial small subunit ribosomal RNA
Source: RNAcentral
UGCUUAACACAUGCAAGUCGAACGGUAGGCACUUCGGUGCUGAGAGUGGCGGACGGGUGAGUAACGCGUAGGAACCUGGCCCGUAGUGGGGGACAACUUAGGGAAACUUAAGCUAAUACCGCAUACGCCCCAAGGGGGAAAGCGGGGGACCGCAAGGCCUCGCGCUAUGGGAUGGGCCUGCGUCGGAUUAGCUUGUUGGUGGGGUAACGGCCCACCAAGGCGACGAUCCGUAGCUGGUCUGAGAGGACGACCAGCCACACUGGGACUGAGACACGGCCCAGACUCCUACGGGAGGCAGCAGUGGGGAAUAUUGGACAAUGGGCGCAAGCCUGAUCCAGCAAUACCGCGUGUGUGAAGAAGGCCUGAGGGUUGUAAAGCGC